GACAAGCAUACAAAGAAAAAUGUCUUAGUCAACGAUCCAAAUGUCUUAAUAAUACGCUAAGCAAAGCAUACAAAUGUAAUAAUAACCAUGAGAAGCGUACGAAGCAAAUUGUCUUAAAGCAUACAAAGCAAAAUGUCUUAAUACACUAAGCAAAGCAUACAAAUGUAAUAAUAACCAUGAGAAAGCAUACGAAGCAAAAUGUCGUAUUUAACGAUCCAAAUGUCUUAAUAGUCUAAGCACAGCAUACAAAUGUAAUAGUAACCAGUUUGCUGAUAAUAAAAAAAUACGAAGAAUUGAAGAA
This is a long non-coding RNA of Brassica rapa (field mustard), 301 nucleotides long. RefSeq lists it as uncharacterized. Lineage: Eukaryota; Viridiplantae; Streptophyta; Magnoliopsida; Brassicales; Brassicaceae. The record is from RefSeq and is a predicted model, not a curated record.